Unclassified non-coding RNA from Callithrix jacchus (white-tufted-ear marmoset), 116 nucleotides. It matches the Rfam family "Metazoan signal recognition particle RNA". From Rfam's summary of the family: The signal recognition particle (SRP) is a universally conserved ribonucleoprotein. Lineage: Eukaryota; Metazoa; Chordata; Mammalia; Primates; Cebidae. The record is from Ensembl.
GCCGGGCGUGGUGGCUCAUGCCUGUAAUCCAAGCACUUUGGAGGCCAAGGCGGGUGGAUCACUUGAGGUCGGGAGUUCAAGAGCAGCCUGACCAACAUGGUGAAACCCCGUCUUUA